Molecule: ribosomal RNA, 210 nt
Filed under: uncultured bacterium
Lineage: Bacteria
Description: partial 16S ribosomal RNA
Rfam family: Bacterial small subunit ribosomal RNA
Source: RNAcentral
CUAUCUCAGUUCGGAUUGGAGGCUGAAACCCGCCUCCAUGAAGUUGGAUUCGCUAGUAAUCGCGCAUCAGCCAUGGCGCGGUGAAUACGUUCCCGGGCCUUGUACACACCGCCCGUCAAGCCAUGGGAGCUGGGGGUGCCUGAAGUUCGUGACCGCAAGGAUCGACCUAGGGCAAAACCGGUGACUGGGGCUAAGUCGUAACAAGGUAAC